This 951-nucleotide long non-coding RNA is filed under the name Homo sapiens (human). RNAcentral describes it as "non-protein coding lnc-MAP9-13:1". The record is from RNAcentral. Lineage: Eukaryota; Metazoa; Chordata; Mammalia; Primates; Hominidae.
AUGGCUAUAAUUAACCUUCUCCUACUUAUUAUCCCCACUCUUAUUGCUAUAGCAUUCCUUACACUCAUCGAAUGAAAAAUCUUAGGCUAUACACAACUAUGCAAAGGACCCAAAAUUGUAGGUCCCUAUGGGCUGCUUCAGCCAUUCGCUGAUGGAAUAAAACUUUUCACCAAAGAACCCUUAUGGCCCUCAACAUCCACUAUUACCCUUUAUGUUACUGCUUCAACACUAGCCCUUUCCAUUGCUCUCCUUUUAUGAACUCCCCUGCCUAUACCAGAUCGUCUAAUUAAUUUUAAUAUAGGCCUCCUAUUUAUACUAGCAACAUCAAGCCAGGCUGUCUACUCUAUGAUCAGAAUGAGCAUCUAAUUCAAAAUAUGCACUGAUCAGUGCAUUACCAGCUGUGGCCCAGACAAUUUCAUAUAAGGUCACCCUAGCCAUUAUCCUGCUAUCAGUUCUACUGAUAAGCAGCUCAUUUAACUUAUACACACUCAUCACAAUGCAAGAAUUCCUCUGACUGCUCCUACCGUCAUGGCCCCUAGCCAUAAUAUGAUUCAUCUCCACACUAGCAGAAACUAACCGAGCACCUUUUGAUCUAGCAGAAGGAGAGUCAGAGUUAGUCUCAGCCUUCAACAUCGAAUACGCCACAGGUCAUUUGCCCUCUUCUUUAUAGCAGAAUAUAUGAAUAUUAUCAUAAUAAAUGCCUUAACUACUACUAUUUUCCUAGGAGCACUACACACUAUAUAUUCACCAGAACUCUACACCACAAAUUUCAUUACCAAGACCCUUCUUUUAACCACUCUAUUUUUAUGAAUUCGAAUGGCAUACCCUCGAUUCCACUAUGACCAACUCAUACAUCUUUUAUGAAAAAACUUCCUACCACUUACGCUAGCAUUUUGCAUAUGAUAUAUCUCAAUGCUUGUCCUAAUUUCCAGCAUCCCACCCCAAACAUAG